CAGCCGUAAACUAUGCUCGCUAGGUGUCAGGCAUGGCGCGACCGUGUCUGGUGCCGCAGGGAAGCCGUGAAGCGAGCCACCUGGGAAGUACGGCCGCAAGGCUGAAACUUAAAGGAAUUGGCGGGGGAGCACAACAACGGGUGGAGCCUGCGGUUUAAUUGGACUCAACGCCGGACAACUCACCGGGGACGACAGCAAUAUGUAGGCCAGGCUGAAGACUUGCCUGAAUCGCUGAGAGGAGGUGCAUGGCGUAGACGUCU
Molecule: ribosomal RNA, 260 nt
Filed under: uncultured archaeon
Lineage: Archaea
Description: partial 16S ribosomal RNA
Rfam family: Archaeal small subunit ribosomal RNA
Source: RNAcentral